CGUACGCACUGGCCCAACUGAUCGAUGGUGCUCGCACCUGAUUGACGUUGGAUCACCAGUGAGUGGCGGACGGGUGAGUAACACGUAGGUAACCUGCCCCGGAGCGGGGGAUAACAUUUGGAAACAGAUGCUAAUACCGCAUAACAACAAAAGCCACAUGACUUUUGUUUGAAAGAUGGCUUUAGCUAUCACUCUGGGAUGGACCUGCGGUGCAUUAGCUAGUUGGUAAGGUAACGGCUUACCAAGGCGAUGAUGCAUAGCCGAGUUGAGAGACUGAUCGGCCACAAUGGAACUGAGACACGGUCCAUACUCCUACGGGAGGCAGCAGUAGGGAAUCUUCCACAAUGGGCGCAAGCCUGAUGGAGCAACACCGCGUGAGUGAAGAAGGGUUUCGGCUCGUAAAGCUCUGUUGUUGGAGAGGAACGUGCGUGAGAGUAACUGUUCACGCAGUGACGGUAUCCAACCAGAAAGUCACGGCUAACUACGUGCCAGCAGCCGCGGUAAUACGUAGGUGGCAAGCGUUAUCCGGAUUUAUUGGGCGUAAAGCGAGCGCAGGCGGUUGCUUAGGUCUGAUGUGAAAGCCUUCGGCUUAACCGAGGAAGUGCAUCGGAAACCGGGCGACUUGAGUGCAGAAGAGGACAGUGGAACUCCAUGUGUAGCGGUGGAAGGGGUGGAUUUUUGGGGGAACACCAGUGGCGAAGGCGGCUGUCUGGUCUGCAACUGACGCUGAGGCUCGAAAGCAGGGGGGCUCUUUUAAAGGUAGANANAAAGGAAAGAAAAGAAAAGGAGGGGGCCUUAGUAGGUUNUNNNNNNUUCCCGCCCUUCAGUGCCGGAGCUAACGCAUUAAGCACUCCGCCUGGGGGAGUACGACCGCAAGGUUGAAACUCAAAGGAAUUGACGGGGGCCCGCACAAGCGGUGGAGCAUGUGGUUUAAUUCGAAGCUACGCGAAGAACCUUACCAGGUCUUGACAUCUUGCGCUAACCUUAGAGAUAAGGCGUUCCCUUCGGGGACGCAAUGACAGGUGGUGCAUGGUCGUCGUCAGCCCGUGUCGUGAGAUGUUGGGUUAAGUCCCGCAACGAGCGCAACCCUUGUUACUAGUUGCCAGCAUUAAGUUGGGCACUCUAGUGAGACUGCCGGUGACAAACCGGAGGAAGGUGGGGACGACGUCAGAUCAUCAUGCCCCUUAUGACCUGGGCUACACACGUGCUACAAUGGACGGUACAACGAGUUGCAAACUCGCGAGAGCAAGCUAAUCUCUUAAAGCCGUUCUCAGUUCGGACUGUAGGCUGCAACUCGCCUACACGAAGUCGGAAUCGCUAGUAAUCGCGGAUCAGCA
RNAcentral lists this ribosomal RNA (1337 nucleotides) under uncultured bacterium. RNAcentral's name for it is "bacterial SSU rRNA". It matches the Rfam family "Bacterial small subunit ribosomal RNA", at positions 34 to 1354 of the family's 1533-position model. The record is from RNAcentral.